GAUGAAGAACGCAGCGAAAUGCGAUAAGUAAUGUGAAUUGCAGAUUUCAGUGAAUCAUCGAAUCUUUGAACGCACAUUGCGCCCCUUGGUAUUCCAUGGGGCAUGCCUGUUCGAGCGUCAUUUGUACCUUCAAGCUCUGCUUGGUGUUGGGUGUUUGUCUCGCCUCUGCGUGUAGACUCGCCUCAAAACAAUUGGCAGCCGGCGUAUUGAUUUCGGAGCGCAGUACAUCUCGCGCUUUGCACUCAUAACGACGACGUCCAAAAGUACAUUUUUACACUCUUGACCUCGGAUCAGGUAGGGAUACCCGCUGAACUUAAGCAUAUCAAUAAGCGGAGGA
RNAcentral lists this unclassified non-coding RNA (337 nucleotides) under soil metagenome. Its description in RNAcentral is "partial contains 5.8S ribosomal RNA, internal transcribed spacer 2, and large subunit ribosomal RNA". The stretch from base 1 to 120 matches the Rfam family "5.8S ribosomal RNA", at positions 35 to 154 of the family's 154-position model. The record is from RNAcentral.